This 465-nucleotide ribosomal RNA is filed under the name uncultured bacterium. RNAcentral's name for it is "partial 16S ribosomal RNA". It matches the Rfam family "Bacterial small subunit ribosomal RNA", at positions 338 to 795 of the family's 1533-position model. The record is from RNAcentral.
CCUACGGGAGGCAGCAGUGGGGAAUAUUGCGCAAUGGGCGAAAGCCUGACGCAGCGACGCCGCGUGAGGGAUGAAGGUCUUCGGAUCGUAAACCUCUGUCAGCAGGGAAGAACGGGCACUGUGCUAAUCAGCAGUGAAUUGACGGUACCUGUCGAAUAAGCCACGGCUAACUACGUGCCAGCAGCCGCGGUAAUACGUAGGUGGCAAGCGUUGUCCGGAUUUACUGGGCGUAAAGGGCGUGUAGCCGGGUUGACAAGUCAGAUGUGAAAUCCUGCGGCUUAACCGCAGAACUGCAUUUGAAACUGUUGUUCUUGAGUACUGGAGAGGCUGACAGAAUUCCUAGUGUAGCGGUGAAAUGCGUAGAUAUUAGGAGGAACACCAGUGGCGAAGGCGGUCUGCUGGACAGCAACUGACGGUGAGGCGCGAAAGCGUGGGGAGCAAACAGGAUUAGAUACCCGUGUAGUC